GACUUUCUAUGAAUCUGAGGAUGAUCUUGAACUGCUGCUCAUCUUCCUAUCUCCACCUCUUGAUGCUGAAAUUACUGGUGUGAUGGACGGUAGUUUAUGAGAUGCUGGGGAUCAAACUCAGAGCCCUGUGAAUACUGGAUAAGCACUCUACCAACUUGGCUAAGGAGCCCAAGAAGCUGGGGAGUGAGAGGGCAGCCUUUGCAAUACAGAGUGCCUUGAACAGAGCUCAAAGAGAGGACAAAUAAACCAUUCUGGGGGAGCUGCAGAAGGAUGGCCAAGCAGAAAGCCGGGGGUGAAUCAACAGAAGUGGCAUGGAAUAUGCAACAGCUUGUGUUGCUUUGACGGUCGUCUUGCUGGGCGUGCAACUGUAUUGGACAUUCCAGGGACAAGGGAAGCCCGUGAGAACUGCAGGCAGGUGCAUAACUGGUGUUUGACAAUAAUCAGAAUGUCAUCCGAAGCUGAGAAAUUCGGCAUUUCUCAGCCGGCUUCUUUAGUCCCGGGCUCCAGCAGAGAAUGGCCGCUAGAGGGCGCUCCUUCCUCUCUCUUCCAUCACUCGUUUGCUUUCGACAUUUUACACCAGUAUCCAGCAGGAGGUUUUCCAGAGUUUUGAACCCGUAUGCCAGCACCUACGAAAAUGCUCAUUGAUUCACUUCAAGUCAUUUAUUCCAUUAAAAUUACCCCUCUAAUGCCAGUUUUUAAAUUUUUAAAAAUUUUAUUUUUACGUGUAUGAGUGUUUUGCCUG
Molecule: long non-coding RNA, 742 nt
Filed under: Cricetulus griseus (Chinese hamster)
Lineage: Eukaryota; Metazoa; Chordata; Mammalia; Rodentia; Cricetidae
Description: lncRNA (ENSCGRG00015034830.1)
Source: RNAcentral